GACGAACGCUUGCGACGUGCCUAAGAAAUGCAAGUCGAACGAGGUAGCAAUACCUAGUGGCGAACGGUCGCGUAACACGUGGGCAACCUGCCCUAAAGUGGGGGACGAACAUUCCGAAAGGGAGUGCUAAUACCGCAUGUGUAUAGAGAUUGGCAUCUUUCUUCUAUAACAAAGGAAUUUAUUCGUCUUUAGGUAGUGGGCCCGGCCGGCCUAUCAGCUAGUUGGUGAGGUAACGGCUCACCAAGGCUUCGACGGGUAGCUGGUCUGAGAGGACGAUCAGCCGGAUUGGGACUGAGAUACGGCCCAGACUCCUACGGGGGGCGA
RNAcentral lists this ribosomal RNA (324 nucleotides) under uncultured bacterium. RNAcentral describes it as "bacterial SSU rRNA". It matches the Rfam family "Bacterial small subunit ribosomal RNA", at positions 28 to 351 of the family's 1533-position model. The record is from RNAcentral.